GGGUUGUGAGGUUAAGCGACUAAGCGUACACGGUGGAUGCCCUGGCAGUCAGAGGCGAUGAAGGACGUGCUAAUCUGCGAUAAGCGUCGGUAAGGUGAUAUGAACCGUUAUAACCGGCGAUUUCCGAAUGGGGAAACCCAGUGUGAUUCGUCACACUAUCAUUAACUGAAUCCAUAGGUUAAUGAGGCGAACCGGGGGAACUGAAACAUCUAAGUACCCCGAGGAAAAGAAAUCAACCGAGAUUCCCCCAGUAGCGGCGAGCGAACGGGGAGCAGCCCAGAGCCUGAAUCAGUGUGUGUGUUAGUGGAAGCGUCUGGAAAGGCGUGCGAUACAGGGUGACAGCCCCGUACACAAAAAUGCACAUACUGUGAGCUCGAUGAGUAGGGCGGGACACGUGGUAUCCUGUCUGAAUAUGGGGGGACCAUCCUCCAAGGCUAAAUACUCCUGACUGACCGAUAGUGAACCAGUACCGUGAGGGAAAGGCGAAAAGAACCCCGGCGAGGGGAGUGAAAAAGAACCUGAAACCGUGUACGUACAAGCAGUGGGAGCACAGAGCAAUCUGUGUGACUGCGUACCUUUUGUAUAAUGGGUCAGCGACUUAUAUUCUGUAGCAAGGUUAACCGAAUAGGGGAGCCGAAGGGAAACCGAGUCUUAACUGGGCGUUAAGUUGCAGGGUAUAGACCCGAAACCCGGUGAUCUAGCCAUGGGCAGGUUGAAGGUUGGGUAACACUAACUGGAGGACCGAACCGACUAAUGUUGAAAAAUUAGCGGAUGACUUGUGGCUGGGGGUGAAAGGCCAAUCAAACCGGGAGAUAGCUGGUUCUCCCCGAAAGCUAUUUAGGUAGCGCCUCGUGAAUUCAUCUCCGGGGGUAGAGCACUGUUUCGGCAAGGGGGUCAUCCCGACUUACCAACCCGAUGCAAACUGCGAAUACCGGAGAAUGUUAUCACGGGAGACACACGGCGGGUGCUAACGUCCGUCGUGAAGAGGGAAACAACCCAGACCGCCAGCUAAGGUCCCAAAGUCAUGGUUAAGUGGGAAACGAUGUGGGAAGGCCCAGACAGCCAGGAUGUUGGCUUAGAAGCAGCCAUCAUUUAAAGAAAGCGUAAUAGCUCACUGGUCGAGUCGGCCUGCGCGGAAGAUGUAACGGGGCUAAACCAUGCACCGAAGCUGCGGCAGCGACGCUUAUGCGUUGUUGGGUAGGGGAGCGUUCUGUAAGCCUGCGAAGGUGUGCUGUGAGGCAUGCUGGAGGUAUCAGAAGUGCGAAUGCUGACAUAAGUAACGAUAAAGCGGGUGAAAAGCCCGCUCGCCGGAAGACCAAGGGUUCCUGUCCAACGUUAAUCGGGGCAGGGUGAGUCGACCCCUAAGGCGAGGCCGAAAGGCGUAGUCGAUGGGAAACAGGUUAAUAUUCCUGUACUUGGUGUUACUGCGAAGGGGGGACGGAGAAGGCUAUGUUGGCCGGGCGACGGUUGUCCCGGUUUAAGCGUGUAGGCUGGUUUUCCAGGCAAAUCCGGAAAAUCAAGGCUGAGGCGUGAUGACGAGGCACUACGGUGCUGAAGCAACAAAUGCCCUGCUUCCAGGAAAAGCCUCUAAGCAUCAGGUAACAUCAAAUCGUACCCCAAACCGACACAGGUGGUCAGGUAGAGAAUACCAAGGCGCUUGAGAGAACUCGGGUGAAGGAACUAGGCAAAAUGGUGCCGUAACUUCGGGAGAAGGCACGCUGAUAUGUAGGUGAAGUCCCUCGCGGAUGGAGCUGAAAUCAGUCGAAGAUACCAGCUGGCUGCAACUGUUUAUUAAAAACACAGCACUGUGCAAACACGAAAGUGGACGUAUACGGUGUGACGCCUGCCCGGUGCCGGAAGGUUAAUUGAUGGGGUCAGCGCAAGCGAAGCUCUUGAUCGAAGCCCCGGUAAACGGCGGCCGUAACUAUAACGGUCCUAAGGUAGCGAAAUUCCUUGUCGGGUAAGUUCCGACCUGCACGAAUGGCGUAAUGAUGGCCAGGCUGUCUCCACCCGAGACUCAGUGAAAUUGAACUCGCUGUGAAGAUGCAGUGUACCCGCGGCAAGACGGAAAGACCCCGUGAACCUUUACUAUAGCUUGACACUGAACAUUGAGCCUUGAUGUGUAGGAUAGGUGGGAGGCUUUGAAGUGUGGACGCCAGUCUGCAUGGAGCCGACCUUGAAAUACCACCCUUUAAUGUUUGAUGUUCUAACGUUGACCCGUAAUCCGGGUUGCGGACAGUGUCUGGUGGGUAGUUUGACUGGGGCGGUCUCCUCCUAAAGAGUAACGGAGGAGCACGAAGGUUGGCUAAUCCUGGUCGGACAUCAGGAGGUUAGUGCAAUGGCAUAAGCCAGCUUGACUGCGAGCGUGACGGCGCGAGCAGGUGCGAAAGCAGGUCAUAGUGAUCCGGUGGUUCUGAAUGGAAGGGCCAUCGCUCAACGGAUAAAAGGUACUCCGGGGAUAACAGGCUGAUACCGCCCAAGAGUUCAUAUCGACGGCGGUGUUUGGCACCUCGAUGUCGGCUCAUCACAUCCUGGGGCUGAAGUAGGUCCCAAGGGUAUGGCUGUUCGCCAUUUAAAGUGGUACGCGAGCUGGGUUUAGAACGUCGUGAGACAGUUCGGUCCCUAUCUGCCGUGGGCGCUGGAGAACUGAGGGGGGCUGCUCCUAGUACGAGAGGACCGGAGUGGACGCAUCACUGGUGUUCGGGUUGUCAUGCCAAUGGCACUGCCCGGUAGCUAAAUGCGGAAGAGAUAAGUGCUGAAAGCAUCUAAGCACGAAACUUGCCCCGAGAUGAGUUCUCCCUGACUCCUUGAGAGUCCUGAAGGAACGUUGAAGACGACGACGUUGAUAGGCCGGGUGUGUAAGCGCAGCGAUGCGUUGAGCUAACCGGUACUAAUGAACCGUGAGGCUUAACCUUACAACGCCGAAG
Molecule: ribosomal RNA, 2927 nt
Filed under: Escherichia coli
Lineage: Bacteria; Pseudomonadati; Pseudomonadota; Gammaproteobacteria; Enterobacterales; Enterobacteriaceae
Description: partial 23S ribosomal RNA
Rfam family: Bacterial large subunit ribosomal RNA
Source: RNAcentral